RNAcentral lists this transfer RNA (75 nucleotides) under Bacillota bacterium. RNAcentral's name for it is "tRNA-Glu". It matches the Rfam family "tRNA". Rfam says of the family: Transfer RNA (tRNA) molecules are approximately 80 nucleotides in length. Their secondary structure includes four short double-helical elements and three loops (D, anti-codon, and T loops). Lineage: Bacteria; Bacillati; Bacillota. RNAcentral also lists the same sequence under 1 other name. The record is from RNAcentral.
GGCUCGUUGGUCAAACGGUUAAGACACCGCCCUUUCACGGCGGUAAUGCGGGUUCGAUUCCCGCACGAGUCACCA